GUAGGGAAUAUUGCACAAUGGGGGAAACCCUGAUGCAGCGACGCCGCGUGAGUGAUGAAGGCCUUCGGGUCGUAAAGCUCUGUCGUAUGGGACUAACACAAUGAAGGUACCAUGCAAGAAAGGAUCGGCUAACUUCGUGCCAGCAGCCGCGGUAAGACGAGGGAUCCUAGCGUUGUUCGGAAUCAUUGGGCGUAAAGCGGGUGUAGGCGGAUUUAUAAGUCAGGUGUGAAAUCCCAGGGCUCAACCCUGGAAGUGCACUUGAUACUGUAAAUCUUGAGUGUGGUAGAGGUUACUGGAAUUGUUGGUGUAGUGGUGAAAUACGUAGAUAUCAACAGGAAUACCGGAGGCGAAGGCGAGUAACUGGGCCAACACUGACGCUGAGACCCGAAAGCGUGGGGAUCAAACAGGAUUAGAUACCCGAGUAGUCC
Molecule: ribosomal RNA, 428 nt
Filed under: uncultured bacterium
Lineage: Bacteria
Description: bacterial SSU rRNA
Rfam family: Bacterial small subunit ribosomal RNA
Source: RNAcentral